GAAACGGCUCUUUUUAGAGCUAUUGAAUGUUUCAAAGACAACGUAU
Patagioenas fasciata monilis is the source of this 46-nucleotide non-coding RNA. Lineage: Eukaryota; Metazoa; Chordata; Aves; Columbiformes; Columbidae. The record is from Rfam.